CCAGCUGACAGAAACCACUCCUUCUGCCACACGUCCACAUCCUGCUGUUCAGGAUAUGUUGUAUGUUCGUGCUGGGAGCUCAGCUGUGCUUUAGACCUGUGUGUUUAAUUCUAUAUCAUAGCAUCGCUAAAAUGAUCUUCUCAGUAGUUAUUUUCAUACUUAUUUCUGUUGCGGCAUCAGAAGCUCUGGGAGACAGAGAAGAACAAGAUUUGGCAGCAAAUCCAGGGCUGGUUGCAGUGCUGUGUAUUUUCUGCAUUGUGGUGGCUGUAGUUGUUGUGGUUGUGAUAGUGAAGGCUGUUCGCUCCAGGAGACCUCAGUUUGAGAGGCUUGAUGAUGUACCUAUGGGCAAGGUAAAUGAGGAAGCACCGUUUGCCCGCUACCCUCCAAAAUAAAGGCCAGUUUCUUAUACUUGCUGUCUCAGUGAACGACGUAGCUAUGCCUCUGAUAUUUCGCUUUUUGGUUUUGAAAUGAAAUGUGCCUUUUUAACCUACAGACUUAAUGUGCAAUACAUAGUGUAUUAGUUGUGAAAUAUGAUAAUGUGCUUUUUUCCCCCUUAAAAUACCACAGCUAAUGACAAACUUGUAGUCAAAUGAAGAAAUCUAACUUCUUAUGUCCUAUAUUUUUGUAUUGUUUAUGCCAUAUUCUUCUCUUGUAAGCCCGUUUUGAUUAAACCUAUCUUUUGAAAAAAUCUGCUUAAUUAAUACAUAUAAUUGGAAUGUAAAUGUACAUAAUGACGACUGCACUGUCAAUAUUUGUGAGAGACUAUGUCGGGAGUGUGACAUUUUCAGCCUGUCCUCCAGAUGGCGCCAAAAUUGUUCACAAGCAGUUGUACUGUAUGUAUCUUUAACAUUAUUUGAGAACUGAGAGUUGUUUUUGCUCAAAAUAACAAAUAUCUUUGGCCUUGGACCACCUCAAAUGAACUUAAUACAAUUCGACAAAUGUAUUGUAAAUAAAUAAAAAAUUUUGCAUUAAAGCA
This is a long non-coding RNA of Cyprinus carpio (common carp), 976 nucleotides long. NCBI's taxonomy places the organism in Eukaryota, Metazoa, Chordata, Actinopteri, Cypriniformes, Cyprinidae. The record is from Ensembl.